CAGGCUCCUGAAUCACUCCACCCCGACAAGCACGAGAAACCGACCAAAACAGACUGUGGACACAGAAAAAAGCCUUUCUGCAGACGAAGCAAAUUCUCCGUCUUCCCCCUGCAGCUGGCAGUCUCUGGAAAAUCAGAAGGGACACCCGGACGGCCCCCGUUGGCCAGAUUUGCAGCCGGUCAUCUGGCAGAACGAGGAAAGGCGGCGGAGCAAGCAGAUCAGGAGGGAGUAU
Thamnophis sirtalis is the source of this 232-nucleotide non-coding RNA. NCBI's taxonomy places the organism in Eukaryota, Metazoa, Chordata, Lepidosauria, Squamata, Natricidae. The record is from RefSeq and is a predicted model, not a curated record.